CNUGCAGUCGANCGAUGAAGCCCUUCGGGGUGGAUUAGUGGCGAACGGGUGAGUAACACGUGGGCAAUCUGCCCUUCACUCUGGGACAAGCCCUGGAAACGGGGUCUAAUACCGGAUAACACUCUGUCCCGCAUGGGACGGGGUUGAAAGCUCCGGCGGUGAAGGAUGAGCCCGCGGCCUAUCAGCUUGUUGGUGGGGUGAUGGCCUACCAAGGCGACGACGGGUAGCCGGCCUGAGAGGGCGACCGGCCACACUGGGACUGAGACACGGCCCAGACUCCUACGGGAGGCAGCAGUGGGGAAUAUUGCACAAUGGGCGAAAGCCUGAUGCAGCGACGCCGCGUGAGGGAUGACGGCCUUCGGGUUGUAAACCUCUUUCAGCAGGGAAGAAGCGAGAGUGACGGUACCUGCAGAAGAAGCGCCGGCUAACUACGUGCCAGCAGCCGCGGUAAUACGUAGGGCGCAAGCGUUGUCCGGAAUUAUUGGGCGUAAAGAGCUCGUAGGCGGCUUGUUGCGUCGGUUGUGAAAGCCCGGGGCUUAACCCCGGGUCUGCAGUCGAUACGGGCAGGCUAGAGUGUGGUAGGGGAGAUCGGAAUUCCUGGUGUAGCGGUGAAAUGCGCAGAUAUCAGGAGGAACACCGGUGGCGAAGGCGGAUCUCUGGGCCAUUACUGACGCUGAGGAGCGAAAGCGUGGGGAGCGAACAGGAUUAGAUACCCUGGUAGUCCACGCCGUAANCGUUGGGAACUAGGUGUUGGCGACAUUCCACGUCGUCGGUGCCGCAGCUAACGCAUUAAGUUCCCCGCCUGGGGAGUACGGCCGCAAGGCUAAAACUCAANGGAAUUGACGGGGNCCCGCACAAGCAGCGGAGCAUGUGGCUUAAUUCGACGCAACGCGAAGAACCUUACCAAGGCUUGACAUAUACCGGAAAGCAUCANNNNUGGUGCCCCCCUUGNGGUCGG
Molecule: ribosomal RNA, 958 nt
Filed under: Streptomyces sp.
Lineage: Bacteria; Bacillati; Actinomycetota; Actinomycetes; Kitasatosporales; Streptomycetaceae
Description: bacterial SSU rRNA
Rfam family: Bacterial small subunit ribosomal RNA
Source: RNAcentral